AGCCUCGUCCUCGGCGCCGCCGUGCUGGCGCUGGGCUCCUGGGGUGAGUCGCUCUCGCCGGCUUUCCCUGCCGGCGCCGGGUUCGGAAGCGGGAUCCCGCCGGCUUUUCGGGGAACAGGGGCGACGGCGAGGCAAAACUGCUGGAAAGCUUGAAUUUUUUUGGAGGGGACGAGACACAAGGGCCUGCGUUGCUCGCUGGCACAUUUUUUUCCGCGGAAGAAGCCGCCAGUCCGGUUCGGCACCUCCGUAUCCCGCGUGCUGUCACCCCCGGGGGGGGCUGAGGGGCUGCAUCCUGGUGCCGGGGGCGACCUCGGAGGUGUUGCCGCUGCCUCCCUUCUCCUCCGCUCUGUCCUUCUCUUGCAGUUCACCACCUGCAGACGGAGAAGCCGGGAAAUGUCAUGGAGGGACGCGGGGACGUGGCGCCGGCGGAUUGCAGGAACGUGACGCCAGUGGAUUGCAGGGACGCGACGCCGGCGGAUUGCGGGGAUGCCGUGGCCGACGUCCACCGGCGGCUCCGGGUGGCCCUGUGCCCCCCGCAGGGGCAGGAUCCAGCAGAGGGCGACGGAUGCUGGCUCUGCCCGCCAGGCUGGACGCGGCGCGGGCGCAAGUGCUACUGGGUGGCCGACGGGACCCAGUCCUGGAACAAGAGCCAGGAGAACUGCACUUCCCGGGACGCCGAGCUGCUGAUGCCGGAGGACUGCGACGAGCUGGAGUUCGUAAAGGACAUCGCAAAGAAACCCUCUAAAUACUUCUGGAUCAAACUCUCCGGCCCGGAUCGGAGCCAGAUACUGCUCAACGGCUCCUGCCUGGAUCAGAGCGGGCUCCCGCCGGGCUCCAGCAAAGGCUGCAGGGCGCUGAAGGACGGCCGGAUCCUGGCCGAGAGCUGCGACUCCGCGAUCUCCUGGAUCUGCCAGAAAGCCGCCAUCGCUAUCUGAGCCAGCUGGAAGCAGGCGCCGGAAGGGCCGGGAUCUCAGUGGGAAAGGCCAGGAUCUCGGCAGGGAGAUCCAACCUGUUCAGAGCGCCCCGGCCCUGCUCACAUCUCCUCCACCUCCGUCUUCCUCCCGAGCCAUCGCUGUCCUUGGCUCACCCACGGCACAGAUAACGGAGGUGUAAAUAAAAGGAAAAAAAAAGGGAGAAUUAAAAGCGGA
RNAcentral lists this long non-coding RNA (1148 nucleotides) under Apteryx owenii (little spotted kiwi). RNAcentral's name for it is "lncRNA (ENSAOWG00000004945.1)". Lineage: Eukaryota; Metazoa; Chordata; Aves; Apterygiformes; Apterygidae. The record is from RNAcentral.